CAUGAGGACAGAGAUCCUCGUUGGGGCAGUGUGCUUGGGGAGGGAGGUCUCUGGGGGAGGCAUGGUCUAGGGUGGUAGGAGAGUGGCAGGGAGGUGCCUGUGGGAUGGAAACCCCUGCGGGGGGAGGACUUGUGUUAAUAGAAGGGCUAGAAGGGUCGGGACUGCCUCUGUGUUUUAAGGAGGGUCCUGCUUAAGGGUCCACUUAGGGAGAGAUUCGGCUCAGGAAGCUGACCAAGCUGGCACACAGGGUUCCCUGUACAAUUCCCUUGGAGGAAUAUUUACAUAAAUUAGACUAACAUAGGGGAAUUAUUUGCUUGACUUUGUAAAACACCAGAUCUGGGUGUUUCCCUUUAAUUAAACCUGACACUCUCCCAGCAUCCCAUCCCUGGGAAAUCAGUCACUCAUUCAACAAGUACAGGCACCCAGGGAGACAGGCCCACAGGACCACUGCCAGACCCCCAGGCGGAUGGCCAGGGCCCGACAGGCCUGAACACACUGGCUCUGCUUCGUGUGCAGGGAAAGAAGAGCGGAGCAAGGUGCAGGAGUGCCCUGUGCCCUCUCCUUUGGCUUAGCUUCCUGCCUGCUACUGGCCCUGCUUCCCUCUUUGUCUUUGCUGUCGCCAGUGUUUUAGGUGGAUCCCUGAGUAUUUAUUUUCUGGGAUUCUUUUGGACAGGGAUGACAGAAAGCCAGCCCAGACUGGCUCCAACAAACAAGGGUGUUUAAAAAGUCCAGAGUAUCUUCCUAGCCCCUGACUCCUUUCCCCUGGGCCAGCUUGGGGCAGCGCACACUGCACCCCACCCACCUAACACUGGCCCUAGGACUGACCACAUGGGCUGGAGACAAGAGCAAACUCUGCUGGCCCAAAAGACAGUUGAGUGCUGGGACCAGGGUGACAGAUGGAGGUGGGCAGGCAAACAGUAGAGGGAGUCAACCUAGGUUUCUUCCCCUGGACUUGCUCCCAUCAGCCACAAGACAGGAGAGGGAGGAGGGGCCCUCCAGAAAAGCUCUAGUGGUCGUGAGCCCACUGCACCUUCUAGAACGUCUCCAGGUGCUUUCCUGGGCUGGCCUGCGUGUGAUCACCCUACUCCUGUCCAAGGGGACGCUCAUAUUCAGUGACCAGCUCAGAGUCCAGCCUGCUUUCCAGGUUCAGCAGCGUGGCUGGAAAUCAUGGUCCAGACUUGGGCUCUCACCACCCUAGAGCGGGUAAGAGGAAGCAGCUGUCAAGGUGGAGAAGCCUCACUCUUCCGCACCCUCCUGGAAGAACGGCAAGAGUGACAGUGCCAGCUGGCCAAGACCGCCAGCCACCACACCCUCCCAGGCCUGCUGUCCUCGCCCCAGACCAGGGGUGGGGUGGAACAGGACGUUUCUCAGGAGCCCCCACGUGCUACAUGGAAAGGCACUCCAGAGGCUGCCCUUCCGGAAGUCAGGGGCCCCGGGGAGGGGACCUGGCCCUUGCCCCUUCUGUGUGGCCGCACACAGUGACCUCCUUCCUGAGAGCACAGUGCGGAGAAGCCUGACCAGCCCACCUGGUGGGGCGACAAAGGCAGCACCACCAGUGAGAGGCCACGUGGGUGGCGUGGACCCCUGACAGGCUGUGACGGAAGGGCACCUCACCUCUGCAGUCUCCUGAAAACCCGUCAUCCCCGUCGGAUGAGAAAACAUCAGGCGAGUCCCAGCAGGGGACGUUCUACAACACUCCCGACCCGCACUCCUCAAAACCGCCAACGUCAUGAAAACCAGCGAAGUCUAAGGAACUGUCCCAGCCAAGAGGAGACGAGAGGACUCAGUGUCAUGUGGGAUCCUGGGACAGAAAGAGGACUGUAGGGGAAACUGAGGAAACAGGAAUACAGUGUGGCUGUA
Molecule: long non-coding RNA, 1860 nt
Organism: Lemur catta (Ring-tailed lemur)
Lineage: Eukaryota; Metazoa; Chordata; Mammalia; Primates; Lemuridae
Exons: 3
Source: RefSeq, a predicted model, not a curated record